GGCCCGCUAGCUCAACUGGCAGAGCAACUGACUCUUAAUCAGUAGGUCCUCGGUUCGAUCCCGAGACGGCCCACCA
This 76-nucleotide transfer RNA is filed under the name Dehalococcoidia bacterium. RNAcentral's name for it is "tRNA-Lys". It matches the Rfam family "tRNA". Rfam says of the family: Transfer RNA (tRNA) molecules are approximately 80 nucleotides in length. The record is from RNAcentral. Lineage: Bacteria; Bacillati; Chloroflexota; Dehalococcoidia.